AUGACACAUAAGGCUCACAUCCUUUUGCAUGCAUACUCGGGUUGAAUCACACGUACUGAUCCAACCAAUCAUACGUCCCCUACACAGUCACAUACAUAUGUAUAUAACCUACGUUUCAUGUUUUCCUUUACACACCAUUAGCACGUAACACAUAGAUUGUUUGUACAUAGGCCACGGCCUCCCUCAGAUGUCUUAUUCAAACAUGCAAACAUUUCUGAG
This is a non-coding RNA of Pelobates cultripes (western spadefoot toad), 219 nucleotides long. NCBI's taxonomy places the organism in Eukaryota, Metazoa, Chordata, Amphibia, Anura, Pelobatidae. The record is from the annotation of a GenBank genome assembly.